UACGUAGGGUGCAAGCGUUUGUCCGGAAUUAUUGGGCGUAAAGAGCGUGUAGGCGGCCCGAUUAGUCCGCUGUGAAAGUCCAGGGCUCAACCCUGGAAUGCCGGUGGAUACUGUCGGGCUAGAGUCCGGAAGGGGCGAGUGGAAUUCCUGGUGUAGCGGUGAAAUGACGCAGAUAUCAGGAGGAACACCAAUGGCGAAGGCAGCUCGCUGGGACGUGACUGACGCUGAGACGCGAAAGCGUGGGGAGCAAACAGG
This 255-nucleotide ribosomal RNA is filed under the name uncultured bacterium. Its description in RNAcentral is "partial 16S ribosomal RNA". It matches the Rfam family "Bacterial small subunit ribosomal RNA", at positions 524 to 776 of the family's 1533-position model. The record is from RNAcentral.